AAAACUCUAAAAUGUGCAACGUGGUAAAGUGCAUAUGCUGGAGAUCAUUUAUGAGCUAUUGUUUAAAAGUUUGUAUGUUGACAGUU
Long non-coding RNA from Sphaeramia orbicularis (orbiculate cardinalfish), 86 nucleotides. RefSeq lists it as uncharacterized. The transcript has 3 exons. Lineage: Eukaryota; Metazoa; Chordata; Actinopteri; Kurtiformes; Apogonidae. The record is from RefSeq and is a predicted model, not a curated record.